GGAGAGGUGGUUGCUGGGAGAGCUGUUCCGGCGCUCACGUUCCAAUUCCAAAUUACAAAUUCCGAUCUAGAGCUCCCACGCUUGGGGGCUGUGGAGCGCUCGCCAGCCGCUCCCCGUUUGCUGCUGGGUCUUACGAAGUUCUCAUAUCCAUCAUACAGUUUCUUUGUCACACUGUCCGCGGCACGCCAGUCCCUAUGACAGAAAGCACCUGCGGUCUGUCUGGAGGCGGAGUUGGUGGCGGAGAGAAAAAGUUCUGGAGACACCUGGUUGGGAGCAGGCUAAGGAAACAAAUGGGGAGGAAUUAGCCACAAAUCCUCAAAUAGACAGCUACUCAAAGGCAUCUUCACGGACAAUUUCCAAGCAUUGGAUGCAGUGGUGCAUUCUUGCAUUGGGCAGUGAUUGUGUGCACACAUCUCUUUAAGGGAGAGUGGAAAUGGGGUGAGGAGGAAAAUGGGAGUAGGAUAGAGUGUAGCGUUGACAUUUAUUUUCUUUAAAGGAAGACCCGAGCAUACCUGAGAGCUCAGUGAAGAAAGUAGUUCUGGCGAAUCGGAUUAAUAUGCACCACUGAAACUUGACCUUCGGCCGGCGCGGUGGCUCACGCCUGUAAUCCCAGCACUUUGGGAGGCCGAGAUGGGCGGAUCACGAGGUCAGAAGAUCGAGACCAUCCUGGCUAACACGGUGAAACCCCGUCUCUACUAAAAAUACAAAAAAAUUAGCCGAGCGUGGUGGCGGGCUCCUGUAGUCCCAGCUACUUGGGAGGCUGAGGCAGGAGAAUGGCGUGAACCCGGGAGGCGGAGCUUGCGGUAAGCCGAGAUCGCGCCACUGCACUCCAGCCUGGGCGACUGAGCACGACUCCGUCUCAAAAAAAAAAAAAAAAAAACAAAAAAAAAACUUGACCUUCAUUAUAUCUCACUGCCCUCAUCCCAAACAUUUCCUCUCCCAGUUUUCCAGGAAACGGCAUCGCUGCCCAUCUCUUUUCAGGCCCCAACCCUGGAGAAGAACCUAAAUUUCUCAUUUCCUCACUACCUACCUCCAGUCCUUCAGCAGGUCCCGUUGGUUGGGCUGCUAAACUAUGGGCUAAAUCCUUUCAGUACUUUCCAUGCCCACAGCUACCACUCUGGUCCAAGCCAAAUUCUUAGUUCCCCUGGACUUCUUACUGCAGUAGCCUCUCAGCUUCCACUCUUGGCAAAAUCAAUUUUAUAAAACCUUGAAAUCCCUUAAUACCACUCGUCUGCUUAAACCUCGGCAUCCCACAUUUACCACUAUCAGGAAGGAUCACGUUUGUUUGUUUGCUGUCUCAUUCCCCCAUUUAUAUGUGAAUUCCACGGGUAAGGGCCUGCUCCUACAUCCCACACCUCUACAUCCACAGAGCCUAGAGACCGCAGGCGCGGGGAAAGCACUCCACGACCAUCACUGGCCAGGCCACAAGAGUGCUGGAUCUAAAUUUGGAACCGGACUUUCAGAGCUGAAAUAAACCUGAGGUUUUCCAGGGGCUUUUAACCUCCUUUUACAGCCAAGGAUGCGCCUAAGAAAGGGGAGAGGCUUCCGUGACUUCCUGCAGUAACGCAGCCACUAGAGAUUGAGACUACAACGACUUGGGAGUCUAAAAGUCUGCAACCUUUUCCACUCCAGAGCUCAAUGUUUCCUCAAUCCCCCGGGAUCGGCAUCAGCAAAAACCCGGAGAAGCGGAGCCUUUCUCAAAGAAAAUGACCUCCAGACUCAUGCUACCAUCUCGACCGGUGCAAGUAUCACGCAUGCGCAGGGCCGGCCGCCCGGCCGCACCUCGCCAACUCCUACUCGGACACGUCAUCUAGGUCGGCCUGGGUCUGGUGGGAGGGGCCGGGGGCGGGGCUCGUACGCGGGGCGAAGUGGUCCCCCUACUUCCGGAUCCGGCCUCACCUGGCCAACGCCUCAUUCGGGGUUCCUUGGUUACGUGGCUGCGGUGUCUACCCGGUGCUGGGGCGUGGCGGAGAGAGACCGCCCCGCCCUCCACGCAGGCCACAAAAUGGAGGCCCUGCCCUGUGGGCUUUUGUGGCCUGGGCGCUGUCGUGCCGAAAGACGAAAGUGACAAUUCCAGUUGCAAACUGGAAAGAAAUGGAGUUUUUCCUUCAUUCUCCCCAUGAUCGUGACGGUCCUUUUCUCAAAGUACUAAUACUUUUAAUGGGACUGUAAAACUUGAGGGAUAUGACUCUCUCCUCUCCUCUGCUUCAGAUUGCAUUUGCCAACUCUGAUUUACCGCCAAUACUAUGGUGCUGUCAUAUUCAUAGAGACAGAAAGUAGAGCAGUGGUUGUAGAGAGAGUCUGCAGAAGGAGGGAUGGGGAUUUACUGUUUAAUGGCAUACGGUUUCAGUAUGGGUUGGUGAAAAAGUUGGGAUGAAUGGUGAUGACUGCACAACAAUGCAAAUAUGCUAAUGUCACAGAAGUGUACACUUAAAAAUGGUUAGACGGUAAGUUUUCUAUUAUGUAUAUUUUACCACAAUUUUUUUUUAAAUGCAACAGAGUCUCGCUGUUGCCUAGGCUGGAGUGCAGUGGCAGGAUCUCAGCUCACUGCAACCUCCGCCUUCCAGGUUCAAGCGAUUCUUGUGCCUCAGCCUCCCAAGUAACUGGGAUUACAGGUGCCAGCCACCACGCCCAGCUAAUUUUUGUAUGUUUAGUAGAGAUGGGGUUUCACCAUGUUGGCCAGGCUAGGCUGUUCUCGAACUCCUGAACUCAGGUGAUCCGCCUGCCUUGGUCUCCCCCAGUGCCGAGAUUACACGCGUGAGCCACCACGCCGGGCCCCACAGUUUUUUGUUUUUGUCUUUUAAAUUUUUUUUAACAGCAUUUGUGUCUUUUUUUCUUUUUCUUUUGUUUUUGAAACAGAAUCUCACUCUGUCACCAAGCUGGAGUGCAGUGGCGCCAUCUUGGCUCACUGCAACCUCUGACUCCCUGGUUCAAGCAAUUCUCCUGCCUCAGCCUCUCCAGUAGCUGGGGUUACAGGCACGCACCACCCCGCCCAGCUAAUUUUUGUAUUUUUAGUAGAGAUGGGGUUUCACCAUAUUGGCCAGGGUGGUCUCCAUCUCCUGACCCCGUGAUCCACCUUGCCUUCCCAAAGUGCUGGGAUUACAGGUGUGAGCCACUGCACCCAACCUAAAUGGCAUUUGUUUCUUCCACUCCUCUCUGCCAGAAUAAUUUGGACAGCCUUUUCUGAGUUUCCCAUGACGACUUCUGUAUAAGAUUGUCGGAUAUAGCAAAUAAAAGUACAGUAUACCCAGGUAAAUUUUAAUUUCAGAUGAUCAAUGAAUAAUUUUUUAGUAUAAGUACAUUCCAACUAUUACAUGGGACAUAAGGGUAUUUUAUCUGAUCACCCUACUUUUGUGUCAAGUUAAAAUUAUUAGCAAAAGUGCUUCCGUUUUUAGGAAGUGCACACUGUACUCUAGUAGUUAGGCAGGAGAACAGGGUCUGCGAGCAGGGAACCUAAGGCCGUUUCACACUGACUUCCUAGAGCCAUUUGGAAAGGAAAACCCUAACUUUCCACUCCUAAGUAACAAAAGGCCCAGAGGCCACUCCCUUUGCAAACCCCCACCUUUUCUGUGCCGCAGCUGGAAAAUUGAAAGUGCCUCUGAUUGGUUGCUUUCUGCAACUAAUCAGAUGUUUGCAUAGAGUGUAACUUUGUAACUUCACUUCAGCCUCUGAUUGGUUGCUGUCCCCAACCAAUCAGACUGAUUGUGGGCCAAGGCUUCGUUUGAAUAGAAGUGCAACUUUGUAACUUCACUUUAGCCUCUGAUUGCAGGCCACCACUUCAUUUACAUGGGGUGAGCACCAAUGCGUUUUGUUCAAUUCUUUGUUCAAAACCCCAAGAAUCUGGACAACUUGCACUCAAGACCCUCUACGGGUUUGGCGAGCCAGGUAGGAGGAAGCCCAAAGUAUGGGAUUUAUUUUUCUCCUUUCUUCUUUUCCUCUCUGCUACAUACAGGGGAAUCUUUCUCUCUUUCUUUUCCUUUCCAACUCGGGACUCUUGGUGAACAGUGCCUAAGCAUAGUGACAACUGCAAGUUUCUGGCCAGAGCCUCUCUCUGGUGAAACUGAAAGGCUUCCAUGUGGAAGCGUCUGAGUAACACCACUGGGUUUGGGUGAGGGACCUGAGUCCUUUUCCUUGUUUUUGUUUUUCUGAGUCCUAUUCCUUUUUUCCUUUUUCUGAGUUAUUUCCCUUUUUUUCUUUUCCAGUCUUUCAGUGGCUGUUUUCUAGUAGCUCCUUGGCAAUUGAGGGGAACUGGCUGGGACCACUCUCCAGUGCUGUCUGAAGGCCAAGGAGUGAACAGGGAUGGCUGCCCUGCCUUGAAGAGGGAAGGACUCUUUUCUAUCCUUUCCAGCUAUAGUCCCUGAUCCCUACAUGUGAUGCGGUUGGCAGCGGAAGCUCAUCCUGGGCGAACUCACACACUUUUCAGGAGACUUAAACCUUUUCUUAUGCUAAGUUCUUCCCUUCCCCUACUCAUCUGGCUAAAGGACAGACUAUGCAAAAAAGGUUAUACAAGUCAGAGGGUCUGAGCAUGUCGGAGGUGGUCUGUGUGGGGCAUGGGGUGGGGGGAAAAUUCAUGAAAGGCAAUUUAUUGCCUAAAUUUAAAGGGUUAAAGGGUUGCUUUAAGUGGGAUAGAAAAACCUUAAGGAAAGUUCAUAGUAGGUCCUCAGUGGUGGAGUGUUGUGGGAAGUCAGGGACCCUGAAUGAAGGGACUGGCUGAAGCCAUGGCAGAAGAACAUAAACUGUGAAGAUUUCAUGGACAUUUAUUAGUUCCCCAAAUUAACACUUUUAUAAUUUCUUACGCCUGUCUUUACUGCAAUCUCUGAACAUAAAUUGUGAAGAUUUUAUGGACAUUUAUCACUUCCCCAAUCAAUACUCUUGUGAUUUCCUAUGCCUGUCUUUACUUUAAUCUCUUAAUCCCGUCAUCUUCGUAAGCUGAGGAGGAUGUAAGUCGCCUCAGGACCCUGUGAUGAUUGUGUUAACUGCACAAAUUGUUUGUAGAGCAUGUGUGUUUGAACAGUAUCAAAUCUGGGCACCUUAAGAACAGGAUAACAGCAACGUUCAAGGAACAAGGGAGAUAAUCUUAACGUCUGGCUGCCUAUGGGCCGGGCAGAACAGAGCCAUAUUUCUCUUCUUUCUAAAGCAAAUAGGAGAAAUAUCGCUGAAUUCUUUUUCUCAGCAAGGAACAGCCCUGAGACAGAGAAUGUGUGCCUAGGGGUAGUCCUCCAAAAUGGCCACUCUGGGGACGGCUGUCUUUUAUGGUCGUAGAUAAGGGAAGAAAUAAGCCCCGGACUCCCAUAGUGCUCCCAGGCUUAUUAGGACGAGGAAAUUCCCACCUAAUAAAUUUUGGUCAGACUGGUUGUCUGCUCUCAAACCCUGUCUCCUGAUAAGAUGUUAUCAAUGACAAUGCGUGCCCGAAACUUCACUCGCAAUUUUAAUUUCGCCCUGGUCAUGUGGUCCCGUGAUCUCACCCUGCCUCCAUUUGCCUUGUGAUAUUUUAUUACCUUGUGAAGCAUGUGAUCUCUGUGACCCACACCCUAUUCAUACACUCCCUCCCCUUUUGGAAAUCACUAAUAAAAACUUGCUGGUUUUACGGCUUAGGGGGCAUCACAGAACCUGCCGACAUAUGAUGUCUCCCCUGGACACCCAGCUUUAAAAUUUCUCUCUUUGUACUCUUUCCCUUUAUUUCUCAGACCAGCCAACACUUAGGGAAAAUAGAAAAGGACCCACGUGAAAUAUCAGGGGCUGAAUUUCCCCCGAUAGUGGAGGGAACCAUCCCAAAGCAGUGCCAGCCCCCAUCUAAGGUCAGAGACAUCUGACAGACUAAAUCAGGGCCCUAAAGUAGGGACGCCCCUGGGGACCCCAGUCUGGGUUCAGAAUUUUUUCAGGGGGAUGCCCUGGGUAAAGUUUGGGUCACCUAAUGGGCCCUCUACUUUUCAAAGUCCUCUUCUCUGUUCCAGACCACUAUGGGCAACUCUCUAUCUAUUCGACCUGAUUCCACUAUGGGCAAUUCUACACCUGUUCCACCGGAUUCCUCACUUGGCUACAUCAUCCACCAUUGGAAUCAAUUUGACCCUGACACUCUAAAGGGAAAAUGUAUAAUUUUUUUCUGUAAUACUGUUUGGCCCCAUUAUGAGCUGCCCAGCCCCCAGCAAUGGGCAGUCAGUGGUAGCCUUAAUUAUGACACCAUCCUGCAAUUAGACCUACUUUGCAAGAGGCUGGGAAGAUGGUCAGAAGUCCCAUAUGUACAGGCUUUUAUCAAAAUAUCAAAAACCUAACAAUCUGUGAAACUCCCAGAACCCACCCCCCAAAGGAAAGUACUAAGGCAGAACUAGAUAUUAUAGAUGACCCUCUUUUACAAGGGCUAGCUGUCUCUCAGGGUGAACAGCAACCAUCCCCAUAAAGCCCCUUGCCAAGUGCUCCUGAGGCUAAAACCCAGGAGCAAACACCAGGGACCCUACUAAAUCCCCCUCACACUUGGAGAGGAAUGCCAUAUUCAAUUCUCUCUCCAGCCCUGCUACCUCUUAGGGAAGUAGCAGGAACCAAGGGGCCAGUCCUAGUGCAGGCCCCCUUCUCUAUAAUUUAUACAUACAAUAUAAGGAAAAGCUAGGAAACUAUUCUGAGAAUCCUAAGAAACUUGCAGAUGGGUUCCAGCGUUUGACCUUAGCCUCUGAUCUAUCAUGGAGAGAUGUUCAAUUCAUUCUAGCAACCUGUUACACACCCUCAGAAAAGGAAUGAAUCUCUGAGGCCGCCCACCUGCAAGCAAUGAAUUAUUUGCCCAAAACUCUCAGGGCAAUCAUCCCGGCCCAGACACAGUUCCCACUAUUGAUCAUAAUUGGGACUAUAACACUCCUGAGGAAAUGAACAACCGGGCUAAAUUUCUUGAGGCUCUCCUUGGAGGAAUGAGAAAGGGAAUAACUAAAGGCAGUAAAUUAUGAUAAAGUAAGGGAGGUUACACAAGGCAAGGAGGAAAAUCCAGCCAUGUUUUAUGGCAGGCUGGAGGGAGACUUUAAAAAAUAUACUAAUCUGGACCCUUCCUCUCCCGAAGGCAAAAUAUUAAUAGCACAGCAUUUCAUUAGCCAAUCUGCCCCAGACAUUAGAGAUAAGCUCCAAAAGCUACAGAUGGGGCCACAAACUAAUCAAAAUCAGCUUACUUAUAUCACAUUUAUGGUGUAUAACAAUCGUGACCUGAAGGAAGGAAAAAGGGAACAGAGUAAACAAAAUGGCAAGCCAAAAGUAUGGCAGCCAUCAUUGACGAUGCCCUGAAUGUACAAAGAGUGUCUAAGGGAAACCCGAAGGGCCAUAAAGAUAAUGCCAGCAAAGGCUCUUGCUUCAAAUGCAAGAAAAGAAGACAUUGGGCAAAGGAUUGUGCUAAGUCCCCGCCAGGCCCCUGCCGUCAAUGCAAGGGCACCAGUCAUGACCCCUGGCACUGGAGAAUUGACUGCCCAUGUUCCCACUGAGGGGCUCAGUCAGUCAAAACUCUAGCAGUGCAAAAGGAGGAAUUAGAUGAAGACUGAAGGGGCCUGAGGUCUUCCUCACUGCCCCUGUUCAGGAACAUUGUAAUUACUACUGAGGAGCCCCAGGUAACUCUGGACGUCAUGGGCACCCAAAUUCAGUUUCUUUUUGAUGCAGGAGCAAAUUACUCUGUUCUUACUGCUUAUGCAGUAAGGCGUUCCUCCCAGUCCACAAGUGUUAUGGGAAUAGAAUGGAAGCCACAAACGAGUUUUUAUUUUAUUUUAUUUUAUUUUAUUUUACUUUAAGUUCUGGGAUACAUAUGCAGAAUGUGCAGGUUUGUUACAUAGGUAUACAUGUGCCAUGGUGGUUUGCUGCACCUAUCGACCCAUCAUCUAGGUUUUAAGUCCCACAUGGAUUAGGUAUUUGUCCUAAUGCUCUUCCUCCCCUUGCCCCCAACCCCCCAACAGGCCUUGGUGUGUGAUGUUCCCCUCCCUGUGUCCAUGUGUUCUCAUUGUUCACCUCCCACUUAUUAGUGAGAACAUGCGGUGUUUGGUUUUCUGUUCCUGUGUUAGUUUGCUGAGAAUGAUGGUUUCCAGCUUCAUCCAUGUUCCUGCAAAGGACAUGAACUCAUUCUUUUUUAUGGUUGCGUAGUAUUCCAUGGUGUAUAUGUGCCAUAUUUUCUUUAUCCCGUCUAUCACUGAUGGGCAUUUGGGUUGGUUCCAAGUCUUUGCCAUGGUAAAUAGUGUUGCAGUAAACAUACAUGUGCAUGUAUCUUUAUAAUAGAAUGAUUUAUAAUCCUUUGGGUAUAUAUCCAGUAAUGGGAUUGCUGGGUCAAAUGGUAUUUCUGGUUCUAGAUCCCUGAGGAAUCACCACACUGUCUUCCACAAUGGUUGAACUAAUUUACACUCCCACCAACAGUGUAAAAAUGUUCCUACUUCUCCACAGCCUCACCAGCCUGUUUCCUGACUUUUUAAUGAUCACCAUUCUAACUGGUGUGAGAUGGUAUCUCACUGUGAUUUUGAUUUGCAUUUCUCUAACAACAAGUGAUGAGCAUUUUUUCAUAUGUUUGUUGGCUGCAUAAAUGUCUUCUUUUGAGAAGUGUCUGUUCAUAUCCUUUGCCUACUUUUUGAUGGGGUUGACAAACAAGAUUCAUUACUCCUCCUUUGAUUUGUCAAUUUGAGAAACAACUCUUCCAACAGGAUUUCCUAGUAGUACCAAGCUGCCCAAUCCCCCUGUUGGGAAGAGAUAUUAUGGUUAAAAUGGAGGCACUACUACAAUUUAAGCAUCACCCAUUGAAAUUGCUGAUAGUCAAAAAUACAGUGUUCCAGACCACAUUAAUAAAUAGGUUAACCCGCUGGCAUUGGUAUACUGGAAAACCAGGGAAGGCUAAAACAGCAGUGCCAGUCAAAAUACAUUUUAAAGACCUCAGCUAGUUUCCCAAUUGAAAAUAAUAUCCAAUUAAGCAGGAAGCAAGAAAAGGCCUAGCACCCAUAAUUGAGGUAUUACUUAUUACAUGGGCUCUUAAAAUCCUGUAAUUCCCCUUGCAAUACCUGUUCUAAAGCCUUUGGGGGAAUACCAGUUAGUAUAGGACUGGAGAAUACCGGUUAGUAUAGGACCUGAGAAUAAUUAAUGAGGCUGUUAUCCCCGUCCACCCACUGGUGGCAGAUCCAUAUACCCUUAUGGCUCAGGUACAAGGGGAUGCAAAAUGGUUCUCAGUCCUGGACCUAAAAGAUGCUUUCUUCUCCAUCCCUCUGGCCCCAGAGUCCCAAUACCUUUUUGCCUUUGAAUGGGAAAAUCAAUAUGAGGGAAAAACAGUAAUAUACCUGGACAGUGCACCCUUAGGGCAUUCAGGAUAGCCCCCAUUGGAUUGCCCGAGCCUUAGAGAGGGAUCUGAAGGAUCUGAAAGUGAAAAAUGGGAAUAUACUCCAGUAUGUGGAUGACUUUCUUGUGUGUAGCCCAAACCCAGGAGGUUUCUGACCAAACUACUAUAAAAACUUUGAAUUUCCUGGCAGACAGGGGAUACAAAGUGUCCGACAAGAAGGCACAGAUUAUCCUCCAAUGGGUGCAAUAUUUAGGGUAUGUCUUAACACCCAGAGCCUGACAAAUAUCCCCAGAACGAGAGCAAGCCAUAGGUGGUUUGCCCCCUGCCCCCUCCCCAACCCCCCCACCUGCCACACCUAGUAGCAGCUUUGUUCUUUUUUGGGAAUGGCCAGGUUUUGCAGAAUAUGGGUACCAAAUUUCAGACUCAUAGCAAAGCCCCUAUAUGAAGCAACAAAGGGGCCUGAAGACGAGCUAAAGGAAUGAACCCCAGAAUUGAGAAAAGCCUUUGCCAAGUUAAAACAGGCUCUCGCUCUUGGCAUCCCAGACCUACCUAAGCCCUUCUCUUUGUACGUAGCAGAGAAGAAGGGCAUAGCUGUGGGUGUACUAGCCCAGACAUUAGGAUCAGAACCCAGACUAACCACUGACUUUCCAAAGAAGUUGGAUGGAGUGGCCUCGAGGUGACCAAGUUGCCUGCGGCCAACAGCAGCCACUGCUAUGUUAGUGGAGGAAGCCACUGAAAUCGCUCUGAGCCAACCACUGGAAGUUCUCACCCCCUCAUCAGGUUAAGUCUGUCUUAGAGAUAAAGGGACACAUCUGGAUGACAGGGGAAAGAUGAACCAAAUACCAGGCCAUGUUCCUAGACAAUCCAGAUGUAACCCUUAAAACCUGCAACACUUUGAAUCCAGCUUCAGUGCUGCCCACAGGCCCAAUAACUGAUCAUUCCUGCAAGCAGGUCAUUGCACAUACACAAUGUUAGCCAGCCUGCUUUAAAAGACAAGCCUCUCCCAGAUUCUGAGGAUGAGUGGUUCACAGAUGGCAGUAGUUUUGUGUCAAAUGGGGUUUGACACAGCACUGAGCUGGAUAUGCAGUAGUAAUUAUCGAAGCCCAGCCACUGCUCCUUGGCACAUCAGCACAAAAGGCUGAAAUCAUUGCUCUUACUUGAGCAUUAAUGUUGGUACAAGGAAAAAAGCUUAACAUCUAUAUCGAUUCUAAAUAUGCAUUCCUUGUGGUUCAUGUUCAUGCUACAGUCUGGAAAGAAAAGGGAUUUCUAACUAGAAAACAGUCCUCUAUAAAGCCUGGGCCUGAAAUUCUUCAGCUAUUGGAAGCAAUACACUUGCCAAAGGCCGUAGCUCUAAUUAAUUGUUGGGGUAUCAAAGGGACUUAACCCCUAUAGCACAAGGGAACAGAAAGGCUGAUAAAGAACCAAAGCCGCAUCCCUCAGGGUGCCAUCCCAACAGACCCUAGCCCUACUUCCUUUCUAUGAUUUCCCAACAGAACCUGAGUACACAGUACAGAAAGAACAGUUAAUAGAGGAACAAGGGGGACACAAAAAAAGGAUCCUGGUGGCAUAUGGGGUCAAAAACAUAUCUCCCUCAGACAGCCCAGUGGAAAGUUAUAAAAGCCGUGCAUGCCUCUUUCCAUGUGGGGAGGGAUGCAACUCUGGCCAUUUAAACCAGCUCUUUACUGGGUCUAACUUAGCUUCAGUGGCUAAGCAGGUUUGCUAGGCCUGCUCCCUGUGUGCACUUAACAACCUAGGAAACAACAUGCCUCCUCUAAUAGAACCAGUGCAGAGGAGAGGAACUUAUCCAGGGGGAGACUGGCAAUUAGACUUCACCCAUAUGCCAGCUUGCAGAGGACAUGAGUUUUUGUUAGUACUAAUAGAUAUCUUUACUGGUUGGGUCGAAGUUUAUCCUACCAGAACAGAGAAGGUUAAUGAGGCUAUAAAGGUUCUCUUAAAAGAAAUAAUCCCCGGGUUUGGGUUACCUCAGAGCCUCCAAAUUGAUAAUGGCCCGUCCUUUAUCUCCCAGCUAACUCAAGGGGUUGCUAAGUCUCCUGGAAUCAAGUACUAUCUACAUUCAGCAUGAAGGCCUCGAUCCUUGGGGAAAGUAGAAAGGGCUAACCAAACUUUAAAACGAGUGUUAGCUAAGCUAUGUAAGGAAACAUCAGAAACUUGGGUCAGCUUACUGCCCAUAGCCCUCUUAAGGACCCAUAAUACCCCUACAGCAAAAAUUAAUAUAAACCCAUAUGAAAUAUUAUGUGGAAGGCCAUUCUUAACUAAUGAUUUAAUUACUGAUCCAGAAACAGUUGGUUUAGUAAAAUACCUAGUCAAUCUAGGACAGUUUCAACAGGCUUUACAAACGUUUGGAAUGCAAAGUCUCCCCACACUGGGAACAAUCAGCAACUUAAAAUCAGGUCAGGAAAUAAGGUACUUCUUAAAACAUGGAAAGAGGGAUCACCUGCUCAACAAUUACAACCCAAACGGAAGGGACUGUUUUCAGUGGCACUGGCCAUGCCUUCUGCAGUGAAAGUACUAGGAUUAGAUAGCUGGAUACAUCUUUCAAGGAUCAAGAGAGUGAUACCAGAAGCCCUGGACCAGGAACCCGAAGUUGCCAUCUGCCUCUACACCUGUGAACCUGUGGAAGACUUCAUGAAGUACCUGUUUAGAAGACAGUCAAAAGAAAAGUAAAUGCCUACCAAUUUUCCUUGGUGUCUUUGUUGCAUAGUUACUAUAGGCUGGAUAAUAGUGCCAUUUUUAAAAAUGUUUUAUUUUUGCAGUUUCAUUGCCUUCUUCCAAAUGGAUGGAAUCACUUCCUUUGUAGUAAUUAAGCAGAAUGUUUUAAUACAUUUCUAUAACAAACAUUCCUGACGGCAUAGGUAUCCACCCCCAAAGUUCCCAUUAAAUCUUUUAACCAAAUUCAUUUCCUGUUGCACAGAGACCAUCAAGCUUCAGAUGAUCAUGUGACAGGGUUUCCAGCCAGUUCCAGGUGAAGACACCACCCCUGGCCAUCAAGAAGUCACCCGGUCUCCACUAGACAGAGUAGGGUGAGAGUUCCGUGAUCUCCAACCGGUAGUGAUUAUGCCCCAAGUCAGCAUAAAGAAGUUACGGAAGAAAAACCAUCAGUCCCUCUGUCUCACAUAAAGACUUAUGGGGAUCACGUUUCUCAGAGGGGAGAUGAGGCAGGAGAAUAGGGUCUGGAGGCAGGGAACCUAAGGCCGUUUCACACUGACUUCUUAGAACUAAAUUGAAAGGAAAACCCUAAUUUUCCAUGCCUAAGUAACAAAAGGACCAGAGGCUACUCCCUUUGCAAACCCCCACCUUUUCUGUGUGGCAUAUGGGAAAUUGAAAGUACCUCUGAUUGAUUGUUUUCUGCAACCAAUCAGAUGUUUGCAUUGGAGUGUAACUUUGUAAUUUCACUUCAGUCUCUGAUUGGUUGCUGCAGUCUGGAAAUUCUGCAGGCCAAGUCUUCGUUUGCAUAGAAGUGCAACUUUGUAACUUCAUCUUAGCCUCUGAUUGGUUGCUUUCUGCAACCAAUCAGAUGUUUGCAUAGGCGUGUGACCUUUGUAACUUCACUUCAGCUUCUGAUUGGUUGCUUUCCACAACCAAUCAGACUGAUUGUGGGCCACCACUUCCUUUACGUGAGGUGAACACCAAGUGGCCAAUGGAAAACCUCAAGAGGGUAUUUGGACCUGAGAAGAUUCUGUAUCUGGGGCCCUUGAGCUGCUGCUCUGCCCACUCUCACAUGGUGGAGUGUAAUUUCACUUUGAAUAAAUCUCUGCUUUUGUUGCUUCAUUCUUUCCUUGCUUUGCUGUGUAUUUUGUCCAAUUCUUUGUUCAAAACGCCAAGAACCUGGACAACUUGCAGUCAAGACCCUCUACCAGUAACACUAGUUGUAUCCCUGUAAAUGAAUGGGCUUUGAAGAUUUUCUAGAAGAAAAAGAUCACCUCAUUGUCCUUCAUUUUUUGACAUAAAACUGUGAUAGCCCAAUAGAUAAAAUGUGAGUUAUCGAUCACCCCUGGAAAGGAUUAGGAUAUGCCACUCCAAAAUAUGCCACGUUUAUUUUGCACUGAAGGCAAUUGAGAAACAGUAGACACAGGAAGAGCUCUCUGCUUUUCCCCUUUUUACCUAAAAGCAGAGAAUAAAUUUCCUUUUGGAAAGAUGACAUACAUUUUCCUUUAUAAAGGUGUUCCCUUCUCCUCUACCAGGAAGAUCUGAGAUGGCACCAAAAUGAAUCUGCCUAACAAACCUUACUGCACAAUUCUUAGCUACCAUACAUUUCAUAGUCACCUUCCCAUAAUUUACUGCCCUUAGGAGCCCAAGUCCCUUUCCUUUGACUAUCACCUCUCCACAAUUUAUUGCCCUUUGUUAAAAUGAUAUAUAAGCUCCUUCAUUUAACUACAUCUUUGGGUUUUCACUUCUUAUCUUUGAUGCUACGAUGCAUGUAAAAAUAUUAAUAAAAUUUGUGUGCUUUUUCUCCUGUUAAUUGUAUGUCUUUUAUCAACUUAAAUUACAGGCCCCAAGUACAUAAUUAAGAGAGUAAAAGGCUGGGCACGGUGGCUGAUGCCUGUAGUCCCAGCACUUUGGGAGGCCAAGGCAGGCAGAUCACAAGGUCAGG
RNAcentral lists this long non-coding RNA (13883 nucleotides) under Homo sapiens (human). RNAcentral describes it as "HSALNT0374762". The record is from RNAcentral. Lineage: Eukaryota; Metazoa; Chordata; Mammalia; Primates; Hominidae.